GUAAUAGCUCACUGGUCGAGUGAAGUUGCGCGGAAAAUUACCGGGGCUAAGUUAUACACCGAAAUUGCGGAUUCAUUAAGAAAUUAAUGAGUGGUAGAGGAGCGUUCUAUACAGGAUGAAGUAUGAUCGAGAGGACAUAUGGACAGUAUAGAAGAGAGAAUGCCGGAAUGAGUAGCGAGAGCAAAGUGAGAAUCUUUGCCGUCGAAAAUCUAAGGUUUCCUGGGGAAGGUUCGUCCGCCCAGGGUAAGUCGGGACCUAAGGUGAGGCCGAAGGGCGUAGCCGAUGGACAGCAGGUUAAGAUUCCUGCACCAGUAUACAUGUAUAAUGCAUAAGAGGACACAUUUGAAGAAGAUGAGCGAGGAAGAGGAAAAACUCGUAUGGCAACAUAUAGUGAAAUUAAGUAACGAAUCAUCAAGAAGCAAGUGGCGAGAAAAGUCUUAUGUAGUUGUGUAGACUGCCCGUACCGCAAACCGACACAGGUAGAUGAGGAGAGGAUCCUAAGACGAGCGGGAGAAGCAUUGUUAAGGAACUCGGCAAAUUGACCCCGUAACUUAGGGAUAAGGGGUGCUGGUGUAAAAGCCAGUCGCAGUAAAUAGGCCCAAGCAACUGUUUAACAAAAACACAGGUUUCUGCUAAAUCGCAAGAUGAAGUAUAGGAGCUGACUCCUGCCCAGUGCUGGAAGGUUAAGGGGAAAGGUUAAGAAUAAUUCAUUAUAUCUGAAGCUUUGAACUCAAGCCCCAGUGAACGGCGGCCGUAACUAUAACGGUCCUAAGGUAGCGAAAUUCCUUGUCAGGUAAGUUCUGACCCGCACGAAAGGAGUAAUGAUUUGGGCACUGUCUCAACAAUGUACCCGGCGAAAUUGUAGUACUAGUGAAGAUGCUAGUUACCUGCGACAAGACGGAGAGACCCCAUGGAGCUUUACUAUAGCCUGAUAUUGGGCUUUGGUAUCUUAUGUACAGGAUAGGUGGGAGACUAUGAGAUUAAGACGCAAGUCUUAAAGGAGUCAACCUUGGAAUACCACCCUUAAGAUAUUAGAGUUCUAACUUGUGAUCAUAAACUGGUCAGAGGACAUUGUCAGGUGGGUAGUUUGACUGGGGCGGUCACCUCCUAAAGAGUAACGGAGGUGCGCAAAGGUUUCCUCGGCACGGUCAGAAAUCGUGCUAAUGAGUGUAAAGGCAUAAGGAAGCUUAACUGAGAGAGAGACAUCUCGACCAGAUACGAAAGUAGGUCUUAGUGAUCCGGUGGUAGAAAAUGGAAUUGCCAUCGCUCAACGGAUAAAAGUUACCCUGGGGAUAACAGGCUUAUCUCCCCCAAGAGUUCACAUCGACGGG
Molecule: ribosomal RNA, 1331 nt
Filed under: human oral metagenome
Description: bacterial LSU rRNA
Rfam family: Bacterial large subunit ribosomal RNA
Source: RNAcentral